Molecule: ribosomal RNA, 254 nt
Filed under: uncultured bacterium
Lineage: Bacteria
Description: partial 16S ribosomal RNA
Rfam family: Bacterial small subunit ribosomal RNA
Source: RNAcentral
CACGUAGGGUGCGAGCGUUGUCCGGAAUUAUUGGGCGUAAAGAGCUCGUAGGCGGUGUGUCGCGUCGGCCGUGAAAACCUGCAGCUUAACUGUGGGCUUGCGGUCGAUACGGGCAUCACUGGAGUUCGGCAGGGGAGACUGGAAUUCCUGGUGUAGCGGUGAAAUGCGCAGAUAUCAGGAGGAACACCGGUGGCGAAGGCGGGUCUCUGGGCAUUAACUGACGCUGAGGAGCGAAAGCAUGGGGAGCGAACAGG